This 262-nucleotide ribosomal RNA is filed under the name uncultured bacterium. Its description in RNAcentral is "partial 16S ribosomal RNA". It matches the Rfam family "Bacterial small subunit ribosomal RNA", at positions 524 to 776 of the family's 1533-position model. The record is from RNAcentral.
UACGUAGGGGGGCAAGCGUUGUCCGGAUUUACUAGGCGUAAAGAGCGCGUAGGCGGACGUUUUAAGUGUGGCCUGAAAGCCCCCCGGCUCAACCGGGGAUCCGGGGUUGCCAAACUGGGACGUCUUGAGGGGGGAUAGGGGGAAGGUGGGAAUUCCAGGUGUAGCGGUGAAAUGCGUAGAUAUCUGGAGGAAUACCGGUGGCGAAGGCGGCAUCCUGGACCGACAUUGACGCUGAACGGCGAAAGCUAGGGGAGCAAACGGG